AGUGAACGCUGGCGGUAGGCCUAACACAUGCAAGUCGAACGGCAGCACAGUAAGAGCUUGCUCUUACGGGUGGCGAGUGGCGGACGGGUGAGGAAUACAUCGGAAUCUACUUUUUCGUGGGGGAUAACGUAGGGAAACCUACGCUAAUACCGCAUACGACCUACGGGUGAAAGCAGGGGAUCUUCGGACCUUGCGCGAUUGAAUGAGCCGAUGUCGGAUUAGCUAGUUGGCGGGGUAAAGGCCCACCAAGGCGACGAUCCGUAGCUGGUCUGAGAGGAUGAUCAGCCACACUGGAACUGAGACACGGUCCAGACUCCUACGGGAGGCAGCAGUCGGGAAUAUUGGACAAUGGGGGCAAGCCUGAUCCAGCCAUACCGCGUGGGUGAAGAAGGCCUUCGGGUUGUAAAGCCCUUUUGUUGGGAAAGAAAAGCAGCAGGUUAAUACCCCGCUGUUCUGACGGUACCCAAAGAAUAAGCACCGGCUAACUUCGUG
This 492-nucleotide ribosomal RNA is filed under the name uncultured bacterium. RNAcentral describes it as "partial 16S ribosomal RNA". It matches the Rfam family "Bacterial small subunit ribosomal RNA", at positions 29 to 507 of the family's 1533-position model. The record is from RNAcentral.